UUUCUUCUGGGCUUGGUUCCGGAGGAGGCCAAAAGAAAGUUUACCAGGGAAGCAAUUUGAAGGCAAAAGUCCACUCUAAAGUGAAGUCUGCCUGUGAGAGGUGAACACAAGAGAUUCCCCUGAAGGUCACAGACUGGCUGGUUGGUGUAUGCAAAAGAGAAAGAGAGACCCUGUUUGAAAAAGGCUGAAGGUUUGCUGAGUUGAAUGCCAAAGAGUCUUCGAAGUACGAUUUCCAUUCAGGGAGAUCCGGUUACCCAGCUCCUAGAAAAGGAAGAAGACAUUCCUUAGGGCAGCAAUCCACACACUGUUGGAGCUAAAACAGUGGACACUGUGGAGACACAGGAUUUGUGAGUCUUUAGAUGGACUAACUUUACCCAUCCAUGCAGGAGCCAUGGAUAAUUUUAGACAGACAGGCAACUGAAGAAAGUCCCCCAGUGUCACUUACAGUGGGAUGAUGCUCCAGGUACAACAAAGAGCAAAAGACCAGCUAUGCACAGAAAUCCUGGUGGAUAGUAUACUAAGGAGGAUUAUUUAAAAAACGAACGAAGGUGUAUUUUUAAGUCAGUUCUGACUUCUAAGGUAGGAUUUCAAACUAAGCCAAAUUUCAUGAACAUAUCAUCAUUGAAACCAUGAUGGCUGAAUU
Molecule: long non-coding RNA, 643 nt
Filed under: Mus caroli (Ryukyu mouse)
Lineage: Eukaryota; Metazoa; Chordata; Mammalia; Rodentia; Muridae
Description: lncRNA (MGP_CAROLIEiJ_G0004485.1)
Source: RNAcentral